RNAcentral lists this ribosomal RNA (511 nucleotides) under uncultured bacterium. RNAcentral's name for it is "bacterial SSU rRNA". It matches the Rfam family "Bacterial small subunit ribosomal RNA", at positions 28 to 584 of the family's 1533-position model. The record is from RNAcentral.
AACGAACGCUGGCGGCAUGCCUAACACAUGCAAGUCGAACGGGCCCUUCGGGGCUAGUGGCGCACGGGUGCGUAACGCGUGGGAAUCUGCCCAAAGGUUCGGAAUAACUCGGGGAAACCCGAGCUAAUACCGGAUAAUGUCUUCGGACCAAAGAUUUAUUGCCUUUGGAUGAGCCCGCGUCGGAUUAGCUAGUUGGUGAGGUAAAGGCUCACCAAGGCGACGAUCCGUAGCUGGUCUGAGAGGAUGAUCAGCCACACUGGGACUGAGACACGGCCCAGACUCCUACGGGAGGCAGCAGUGGGGAAUAUUGGACAAUGGGCGAAAGCCUGAUCCAGCAAUGCCGCGUGAGUGAUGAAGGCCUUAGGGUUGUAAAGCUCUUUUACCCGGGAUGAUAAUGACAGUACCGGGAGAAUAAGACUCCGGCUAACUCCGUGCCAGCAGCCGCGGUAAUACGGAGGGAGCUAGCGUUGUUCGGAAUUACUGGGCGUAAAGCGCGCGUAGGCGGCGUUUU